GCCGAGGUGGUGGAAUUGGUAGACACGCAGUCUUGAGGGGGCUGUGGGCGUAAGCUCGUGUGGGUUCAAGUCCCGCCCUCGGCACCA
This 87-nucleotide transfer RNA is filed under the name Chloroflexota bacterium. RNAcentral describes it as "Chloroflexi bacterium tRNA-Leu". It matches the Rfam family "tRNA". From Rfam's summary of the family: Transfer RNA (tRNA) molecules are approximately 80 nucleotides in length. Their secondary structure includes four short double-helical elements and three loops (D, anti-codon, and T loops). RNAcentral also lists the same sequence under 2 other names. The record is from RNAcentral. Lineage: Bacteria; Bacillati; Chloroflexota.